Molecule: ribosomal RNA, 111 nt
Filed under: Brachyscome formosa
Lineage: Eukaryota; Viridiplantae; Streptophyta; Magnoliopsida; Asterales; Asteraceae
Description: 5.8S ribosomal RNA
Rfam family: 5.8S ribosomal RNA
About the family: 5.8S ribosomal RNA (5.8S rRNA) is a component of the large subunit of the eukaryotic ribosome.
Source: RNAcentral
CAAAAUGCGAUACUUGGUGUGAAUUGCAGAAUCCCGUGAACCAUCGAGUUUUUGAACGCAAGUUGCGCCCAAAGCCAUUCGGCCGAGGGCACGUCUGCCUGGGCGUCACGC